This 615-nucleotide ribosomal RNA is filed under the name Clostridioides difficile. RNAcentral's name for it is "partial 23S ribosomal RNA". It matches the Rfam family "Bacterial large subunit ribosomal RNA", at positions 1582 to 2210 of the family's 2925-position model. The record is from RNAcentral. Lineage: Bacteria; Bacillati; Bacillota; Clostridia; Peptostreptococcales; Peptostreptococcaceae.
GUAGCGAAGUAGCUGAUUUCACACUGUCAAGAAAAGUCUCUAUCGAGGUUAAAGGUACCCGUACCGCAAACCGACACAGGUGGGUGAGGAGAGUAUCCUAAGGCCAGCGAGAGAACUGUUGUUAAGGAACUCGGCAAAAUGACCCCGUAACUUAGGGAUAAGGGGUGCCACCAUCAGGUGGCCGCAGAGAAUAGGCCCAAGCGACUGUUUACCAAAAACAUAGGUUUCUGCUAAGUCGCAAGACGAUGUAUAGGAGCUGACGCCUGCCCGGUGCUGGAAGGUUAAGGGGAUCUGUUAGAGCAAUCGAAGCAGUGAACUUAAGCCCCAGUAAACGGCGGCCGUAACUAUAACGGUCCUAAGGUAGCGAAAUUCCUUGUCGGGUAAGUUCCGACCCGCACGAAAGGCGUAACGAUUUGGGCACUGUCUCAACAACAGACUCGGUGAAAUUGUAAUUCCGGUGAAGAUGCCGGAUACCUGCGACAGGACGGAAAGACCCCAUGGAGCUUUACUGUAGCUUGACAUUGGGUCUUGGUACUACAUGUACAGGAUAGGUGGGAGGCUUUGAAACCAGGACGCCAGUUUUGGCGGAGCCAUCCUUGGGAUACCACCCUUGUA